GCUUUUGGUUCAGUGGUAGAAUGCUCGCCUGCCACACGGGCGCCCCGGGUUCGAUUCCUGGCCGAUGCA
This 69-nucleotide transfer RNA is filed under the name Cordylochernes scorpioides. Its description in RNAcentral is "tRNA-Gly". It matches the Rfam family "tRNA". Rfam says of the family: Transfer RNA (tRNA) molecules are approximately 80 nucleotides in length. The record is from RNAcentral. Lineage: Eukaryota; Metazoa; Arthropoda; Arachnida; Pseudoscorpiones; Chernetidae.